GGUCUAUAGAGUGAGUUCCAGAACAGGCUCCAAAGCUACAGAGAGAAACCCUGUCUCAGAAGGAAGGAAGGAAAAAAUAAAGGAAGGAAGGAAGCAAGCAAGGAAGGAAGGAAGGAAGGAAAGAAGACUUUUUUCUGGAUGAAAACAAGUCAGACAGGACAUGAAGGAUCAUCAGUGUUCUAGAAUACAGGAUAACUGGAUUUCUCUGUACUUAAUGCAGAAAAAACAAAGCAAAAAUCCCUAGAGCUCCUGCCAGGAAUCAGAGC
RNAcentral lists this long non-coding RNA (266 nucleotides) under Cricetulus griseus (Chinese hamster). RNAcentral describes it as "lncRNA (ENSCGRG00000025735.1)". The record is from RNAcentral. Lineage: Eukaryota; Metazoa; Chordata; Mammalia; Rodentia; Cricetidae.